Molecule: ribosomal RNA, 275 nt
Filed under: uncultured Streptococcus sp.
Lineage: Bacteria; Bacillati; Bacillota; Bacilli; Lactobacillales; Streptococcaceae
Description: partial 16S ribosomal RNA
Rfam family: Bacterial small subunit ribosomal RNA
Source: RNAcentral
UAUUGUUAGUUGCCAUCAUUCAGUUGGGCACUCUAGCGAGACUGCCGGUAAUAAACCGGAGGAAGGUGGGGAUGACGUCAAAUCAUCAUGCCCCUUAUGACCUGGGCUACACACGUGCUACAAUGGUUGGUACGACGAGUUGCGAGUCGGUGACGGCGAGCUAAUCUCUUAAAGCCAAUCUCAGUUCGGAUUGUAGGCUGCAACUCGCCUACAUGAAGUCGGAAUCGCUAGUAAUCGCGGAUCAGCACGCCGCGGUGAAUACGUUCCCGGGCCUU